GACGAACGCUGGCGGCGUGCUUAACACAUGCCAGUCGAACGGAAAGGCCCUGCUUUUGUGGGGUGCUCGAGUGGCGAACGGGUGAGUAACACGUGAGUAACCUGCCCUUGACUUUGGGAUAACUUCAGGAAACUGGGGCUAAUACCAGAUAGGAGCUCCUGCUGCAUGGUGGGGGUUGGAAAGUUUCGGCGGUUGGGGAUGGACUCGCGGCUUAUCAGCUUGUUGGUGGGGUAGUGGCUUACCAAGGCUUUGACGGGUAGCCGGCCUGAGAGGGUGACCGGCCACAUUGGGACUGAGAUACGGCCCAGACUCCUACGGGAGGCAGCAGUGGGGAAUAUUGCACAAUGGGCGGAAGCCUGAUGCAGCAACGCCGCGUGCGGGAUGACGGCCUUCGGGUUGUAAACCGCUUCCGCCUGUGACGAAGCGUGAGUGACGGUAAUGGGUAAAGAAGCACCGGCUAACUACGUG
This 468-nucleotide ribosomal RNA is filed under the name uncultured bacterium. RNAcentral's name for it is "partial 16S ribosomal RNA". It matches the Rfam family "Bacterial small subunit ribosomal RNA", at positions 28 to 507 of the family's 1533-position model. The record is from RNAcentral.